GCGGUGGAGCAUGUGGUUUAAUUCGAAGCAACGCGAAGAACCUUACCAGGUCUUGACCAUCCCCUGACAACCCGAGAGAUCGGGCGUUCCCCUUCGGGGGACAGGGUGACAGGUGGUGCAUGGUUGUCGUCAGCUCGUGUCGUGAGAUGUUGGGUUAAGUCCCGCAACGAGCGCAACCCUCGACCUUAGUUGCCAGCAUUCAGUUGGGCACUCUAGCGAGACUGCCGGUAAUAAACCGGAGGAAGUGGGGAUGACGUCAAAUCAUCAUGCCCCUUAUGACCUGGGCUACACACGUGCUACAAUGGUUGGUACAACGAGUUGCGAGUCGGUGACGGCGAGCUAAUCUCUUAAAGCCAAUCUCAGUUCGGAUUGUAGGCUGCAACUCGCCUACAUGAAGUCGGAAUCGCUAGUAAUCGCGGAUCAGCACGCCGCGGUGAAUACGUUCCCGGGCCUU
Molecule: ribosomal RNA, 454 nt
Filed under: uncultured Streptococcus sp.
Lineage: Bacteria; Bacillati; Bacillota; Bacilli; Lactobacillales; Streptococcaceae
Description: bacterial SSU rRNA
Rfam family: Bacterial small subunit ribosomal RNA
Source: RNAcentral